This 3826-nucleotide long non-coding RNA is filed under the name Pan troglodytes (chimpanzee). Its description in RNAcentral is "long non-coding RNA NONPTRT008664". Lineage: Eukaryota; Metazoa; Chordata; Mammalia; Primates; Hominidae. The record is from RNAcentral.
CGGCGGACCCUUCCGGAGGUGGCCGCAGAGACUAGCCAACUUGCGCGCCCGCCGACCCGGACCACAGCUCCCAGCACACCUCACGGGCCCACGCCCGCCAGGACUACAAUUCCCGGCGUCCUCCGGAAGCUCAAGUGUACCCAGGCGCGGUGCCUGCUGGGAAUUGUAGUUGACGUUGGUCAGCACGGAGGCCACAGGAUCCCAGCCCGGCCUUUGUGGGACUGAGGUGGCGCUGAGUGGGAGAGCAGCAGGCGAUGCGCGAAAGGCGGGACUUGGAGGUUCUGGAUGUUCCUGUGGAUAACCUCAAGGAGCAGGGGACCUGGGACAUGACUGCCCCCAGCAUUCCUUCUGGCGGCAGACAGAGUUUGUCAGUUCGCCAACAUCCUGCUUUCAUGAGAACAGUUUGCUGUUUGCUCACAGAGCCUCCAGUGGUAUACUGAGUUGGUCACGACCCUCAUUCCUUCGGCCUCCAACAUCUCCCCUUUUGUUUUUGCAUUAAUUGAAUAAAGGUAAUUUCAGGCUGUGCAGCUUUCAAUUGCCGGUUGGUGGUUCACCCGAUCCUAUAGACUAUGAGCAAAAAAACAGAGACAUAACAACAUUAUUCUUGUAAUUAUUAUAAAAGAGACAUUGAAGUUAUGUUUAAGGUAGGUCCAAGGGUUGAGGCUUUUUUUUUUUUUUUUUUUUUUUUUGAGAUGGAGUCUCGCUCUGUCGCCCAGGCUGGAGUGCAGUGGCGCCAUCUUGGCUCACUGCAAGCUCCGCCUCCCGGGUUCACAUCAUUCUCCCACCUCAGCCUCCUGAUUAGCUGGGACUACAGGUGCCCGCCACCACACCCGGCUAGGGUUGAGGCUUUCUAAGCCCUGCUGGAAUUCUGUUUAAGCUUCUAAAAAGGGCUGUUAUUUUUGAGUUUGCUUAUUCAAGUUAAGAAUUUUACUCUGUAAGUUACUGAUAUCAAAAGUAAUAUUGGAUGUAAAAGCUCCCUGCAAAUGAGCUUUUACAAGGUUCCAUGGAUAUUCACUUUGGUUCUAUUCCAAAUUGGUCACACAAAUAUGAAUAUGAUUGAAAUGACAGUGCAAUUGCUGCUGCAAUUGCAAACUUUGUACCUGCUUUCCCAGCCACAGAACAGUAGUCUUUAACAUUGCUACCUUUGUUUGUAAUUCGGUAUUAAUUUUAUUUUGAAGCAUCCAUGCCUGGUUGGCUGUACAUGUCCAAUUUUCUACAUAUUGGGCUGUUUGAAUAGAACUAUGUAGUGCUACUGAGGACACUACAACCGAGGUUUUUAGUGUGACUAAGGAGAUUACAGUAAAAAUUACUAUGUUUAAGGCUUUACAUGCACGAUGAGUGAGCUGGGUAAGAAGGAGUUUUACAAAAUGUAAAGCAGGGGUGGCAGCCCAAGGUUUGCACAAAUUGACAGGGAUCCAUAAUCCAGGGAUACGACCCAGAAUUAUUAGAGUGGAUAUGUUGUGUGUUUGUAUUGUGCUAUGAUUGAGGCAGUGAUACAGUUGACAAGAGUCACAAGUCAACUGGGUGAUGUUUACGUGGAGUUGGUCCUUCUUAGAUGCUAGAAAAACAUACGGAUUAAAAACACAAACUGGCCGGGCACGGUGGCUCACGCCUGUAAUCCCAGCACUUUGGGAAGCCAAGGCGGGUGGAUCACGAGGUCAGGAAUUCAAGAGCAGCCUGGCCAAGAUGGUGAAAUCCCGUUUCUAUUAAAAAUACAAAAAACAAAAAAUAGCCUGGCACGGUGGCGGGUGCCUGUAAUCCCAGCUACUCGGGAGGCUGAGGCAGACAAUUGCUUGAACCCGGGAGGCAGAGGUUGCAGUGACCCGAGAUUGCGCCACUGCACUCCAGCCUGGGCGACAGAGUGAGACUCCAUCUCAAACAGUAACAACAACAACAAAAAACCCACAAACCGUAAAUUGAGUGGUAAUAUUUUUUACAAAGGUGAUAUUAAAACUGUGUUGAGUAAUAUUACUAUUGUUGGAUAAUGUUCUGACCCAGAUGCUGUUAUUCAUAAAUGGGAGUGUUGCCUUCCAUAUCGAUUCCUGAAUUGGGCCUCUGUUUCCUAGAUGACGUCACUGAGGUAAGGGCGGGUUAAAGCCUGUUCUGUACCAAGCAAGUUGUGCAGCCAACUGGGGGACUGAAUCCCAGUGUGACGUGACGAAGAGGUGUUGAAGGUCCACCACCAGUGCCAGUGAAGUUUGUGCCAAGAGGUCUGAUUUUCAUCUCUCCCCUCUAAAUGGCCACGGGGACCCCAGUCAAUGUUUCCCAUUAACAUAGACUGUUGUCUGGCCAAGGGGCCAAGACACUGGGUCCAAGGAGGGGGGUGAGAAAUAUCAAAGGGAGCCCAUUCCAUAUAAUCAAUACAAUUUGAGUGAUGGGGCCGGGAGUGAUUGGUGAACACGCCAGUAACAUUAAUGAAGCUGAGGCCUAAUAAAUACAUAAUUUUUCCAUGGUGACUUAACCAUGCCUGAGAUUGGACUGCAAGACAGCUGCAGUUGAGUGACGUAUCCGUGGUGAUACAUAAAGGGAGUCCUUCCAAUGGGCCGGUGUAAUUGAUGCUAUUGCUCUGUGUCAGACGGAGUUAGGGGUCCUGGUGCCCACGCUCCCUGAUCAUAAUAUAUCUCAGGAGGAGUGUCGCUCCAGAGUACCAGUCGUACUACCAGUGGGUUAGGAACAUAUGCCCAAUAUGUUUUUGCCUCUACACAGGGGAAACAUACCGCACAGGACACUACAGCUAGCAUGGCCAAGAACAUGGAGUCAGGGGUUUUUGCCUGACCCUGGCGCUCCAGUAGUUUCUCAGCUUCCUGUGUCGUUUUCUUGAUCUGUCCCCAUGUUAUGGGGUUGGAUGUCAUUGUGACUCCGGUCGGCCCUUGUUCUGUCUUUGCAUUCAGAUUCCGCUGGCUCAUGGCUUGUACUGGAGGUAACAGGCCCACGGUUGAAUACCACGGAUCCCUCCGGUCUCCCGUUCCAUGGUCACACACACCUGGAGGGCACCCACACGGUUUGUCCAUCUCCUGUAAAAACACAAGCAUACCCUCGUCCCCACGUCAGCAAAUCCACCGGACCUUUCCAUUGUCCUUCUUCUGGGGAUUUCCAUAACACUUUUGGAUAAACUUGCCUCUUUUCCUCUAGCAGUUGCCAGUGUCGUUCUGUUGGGGUCUUGCCAUCCGUACCAGGAGUCAAACAAUUUAAAGUAAACAAGGCUAAAUGUAAUUUUGUUUGAAGUGGUAAUUGGUCCCCUAUUCUCCCUUUUUGUUUUUUCAGCAUGCGUUGUAGCGUUUGAUGUACCCGCUCAAUAAUGCCUGGUCCUCAGGGAUUGUAUGGAAUUCCUGUUUUAUGAUUGAUUGCCCACAAUUGUAAAAAAUUGGGAAAGCAUGACUAACAUAAGCGAGUCUACUGUCAGUUUUAAAUUGUUUAGGGACCCCCAUAUGGGCAAAUGACGACAGACAGUAUCGUCAGACAUGACCAGCUGUUUCUCCAGUUUGGCAUGUGGCAUGUAAUAUAUGGGAGUAAGUGUCUAUAUUACAUGAACAUAGCGGAGUUUGCCAAAGGCUGCUAUAUAUAUGUAACAUCCAUCUGCCAGAUUUCAUUUGGAGCCAAGCCUCGUGGGUUGCAUCCUUCCACAGGUGCAACACCAGGGACAUGCUGGCAAGUGGGGUAGGCUUGCACAAUAACUCAAGCCUGGCUGCGAGGCAGAUGAAACAUACGAGUAAGGGCAAGUUGUUCUGAUGCAGUAAAGCAUGGGAAGCUUGGGCUUGUUGAAAUAUAGAACUGAUGAAUUUAUCUGCUCUAUCAUUACCUAGAGAUAGUGGCCCCAGGAAGUUGU